This 1492-nucleotide ribosomal RNA is filed under the name Flavobacterium saliperosum. Its description in RNAcentral is "bacterial SSU rRNA". It matches the Rfam family "Bacterial small subunit ribosomal RNA". The record is from RNAcentral. Lineage: Bacteria; Pseudomonadati; Bacteroidota; Flavobacteriia; Flavobacteriales; Flavobacteriaceae.
GUAUCCCGCUCGGAUGAACGCUAGCGGCAGGCCUAACACAUGCAAGUCGAGGGGUAGAGUUAGCUUGCUAACUUGAGACCGGCGCACGGGUGCGUAACGCGUAUGCAAUCUACCUUAUACAAAGGGAUAGCCCAGAGAAAUUUGGAUUAAUACCUUAUAGUAUGUUUGAAUGGCAUCAUUUAAACAUUAAAGUUCCAACGGUAUAAGAUGAGCAUGCGUCCCAUUAGUUAGUUGGUAAGGUAACGGCUUACCAAGACAAUGAUGGGUAGGGGUCCUGAGAGGGAGAUCCCCCACACUGGUACUGAGACACGGACCAGACUCCUACGGGAGGCAGCAGUGAGGAAUAUUGGUCAAUGGGCGCAAGCCUGAACCAGCCAUGCCGCGUGCAGGAUGACGGUCCUAUGGAUUGUAAACUGCUUUUAUACAGGAAGAAACACUCCCUCGUGAGGGAGCUUGACGGUACUGUAGGAAUAAGGAUCGGCUAACUCCGUGCCAGCAGCCGCGGUAAUACGGAGGAUCCAAGCGUUAUCCGGAAUCAUUGGGUUUAAAGGGUCCGUAGGCGGUUUAAUAAGUCAGUGGUGAAAGCCUAUCGCUUAACGAUAGAACGGCCAUUGAUACUGUUAGACUUGAAUUAGUGGGAAGUAACUAGAAUAUGUAGUGUAGCGGUGAAAUGCUUAGAUAUUACAUGGAAUACCAAUUGCGAAGGCAGGUUACUAUCACUAUAUUGACGCUGAUGGACGAAAGCGUGGGGAGCGAACAGGAUUAGAUACCCUGGUAGUCCACGCCGUAAACGAUGGAUACUAGCUGUUCUGGAGCAAUCUGAGUGGCUAAGCGAAAGUGAUAAGUAUCCCACCUGGGGAGUACGUUCGCAAGAAUGAAACUCAAAGGAAUUGACGGGGGCCCGCACAAGCGGAGGAGCAUGUGGUUUAAUUCGAUGAUACGCGAGGAACCUUACCAGGGCUUAAAUGGGAGACGACAGUUUGGGAAACCAGAUUUUCUUCGGACGUCUUUCAAGGUGCUGCAUGGUUGUCGUCAGCUCGUGCCGUGAGGUGUCAGGUUAAGUCCUAUAACGAGCGCAACCCCUAUUGUUAGUUGCCAGCGGGUCAUGCCGGGAACUCUAACAAGACUGCCGGUGCAAACCGUGAGGAAGGUGGGGAUGACGUCAAAUCAUCACGGCCCUUACGUCCUGGGCUACACACGUGCUACAAUGGGCGGUACAGAGAGCAGCCACUACGCAAGUAGGCGCGAAUCUUCAAAACCGUUCUCAGUUCGGAUCGGAGUCUGCAACUCGACUCCGUGAAGCUGGAUUCGCUAGUAAUCGCAUAUCAGCCAUGAUGCGGUGAAUACGUUCCCGGGCCUUGUACACACCGCCCGUCAAGCCAUGGAAGCUGGGGGUACCUGAAGUCGGUGACCGCAAGGAGCUGCCUAGGGUAAAACUGGUAACUGGGGCUAAGUCGAAGGGGGAACCCCCCAAAAAAGGUGGGCCCCCCCC